GGGUCAUUGGGGGAUUGGGCUAAAUUAGAAACCAUGCGCUCUUCUCAUCCAAUGUAUUUUGCCAAAAAGAUUGCUGAGGUUGUGACUGAUGACCCCAUAGAUUUCAUGGACCAGCCUCCUGCAGGUCUUGCUAUACAAGGCCUUCUAAGGCCAUCCUUCCUGGAAGAGCAUACUACGAUUCAAAAGCAGAUAUCUGAAGAUACAUUGAGUGACGCGGACUUAAACCGGAUAGAAAAAGAUGAUGAACACAAAGAAAAUGGUGGUGUUCAAAUAAAUGGCCACAAACAUGAGAGUGGAUCAUCACUAGAGAACCCAAGUUGGGAAGAAUUGGAAAAGGAUGAGAUCUUAGGAAAUGGAACUUCAUUUUACAAG
Molecule: unclassified non-coding RNA, 372 nt
Filed under: Hevea brasiliensis (rubber tree)
Lineage: Eukaryota; Viridiplantae; Streptophyta; Magnoliopsida; Malpighiales; Euphorbiaceae
Source: RNAcentral